GGUAAUACCGGCAGCUCAAGUGGUCGUCGCUUUUAUUGGGCCUAAAACGUCCGUAGCCUGUUUGGUAAAUCUGUGGGUAAAUCAACCAGCUUAACUGGUUGAAUUCUGCAGAGACUGCCAGACUAGGGACCGGGAGAGGUGUGGGGUACUCUAGGGGUAGGGGUAAAAUCCUGUCAUCCUUAGAGGACCACCAGUUGCGAAGGCGCCACACUGGAACGGAUCCGACGGUCAGGGACGAAGCCUAGGGGCACGAACCGGAUUAGAUACCCGGGUAGUCCUAGGUGUAAACGCUGUGAACUUGGUGUCGGGAGUCCGCAAUGGGCCCCCGGUGCCGGAGUGAAGAUGUUAAGUUCACUGCCUGGGGAGUACGGUCGCAAGGCUGAAACUUAA
RNAcentral lists this ribosomal RNA (390 nucleotides) under uncultured euryarchaeote. RNAcentral describes it as "bacterial SSU rRNA". It matches the Rfam family "Archaeal small subunit ribosomal RNA", at positions 469 to 859 of the family's 1478-position model. The record is from RNAcentral. Lineage: Archaea; Methanobacteriati; Methanobacteriota.